RNAcentral lists this ribosomal RNA (598 nucleotides) under Nostoc sp. 'Peltigera leucophlebia cyanobiont'. RNAcentral's name for it is "bacterial SSU rRNA". It matches the Rfam family "Bacterial small subunit ribosomal RNA", at positions 131 to 761 of the family's 1533-position model. The record is from RNAcentral. Lineage: Bacteria; Bacillati; Cyanobacteriota; Cyanophyceae; Nostocales; Nostocaceae.
AUCAGGUCUGGGACAACCACUGGAAACGGUGGCUAAUACCGGAUGUGCCGCAAGGUGAAAGGUUAACUGCCUGUUGAUGAGCUCGCGUCUGAUUAGCUAGUUGGAAGUGUAAUGGACUCCCAAGGCGACGAUCAGUAGCUGGUCUGAGAGGACGAUCAGCCACACUGGGACUGAGACACGGCCCAGACUCCUACGGGAGGCAGCAGUGGGGAAUUUUCCGCAAUGGGCGAAAGCCUGACGGAGCAAUACCGCGUGAGGGAGGAAGGCUCUUGGGUCGUAAACCUCUUUUCUCAGGGAAGAACACAAUGACGGUACCUGAGGAAUAAGCAUCGGCUAACUCCGUGCCAGCAGCCGCGGUAAUACGGAGGAUGCAAGCGUUAUCCGGAAUGAUUGGGCGUAAAGCGUCCGCAGGUGGCAAUGUAAGUCUGCUGUUAAAGAGUCUAGCUCAACUAGAUAAGAGCAGUGGAAACUACAUAGCUAGAGUACGUUCGGGGCAGAGGGAAUUCCUGGUGUAGCGGUGAAAUGCGUAGAGAUCAGGAAGAACACCAGUGGCGAAGGCGCUCUGCUAGGCCGUAACUGACACUGAGGGACGAAAGCU